This 467-nucleotide ribosomal RNA is filed under the name uncultured bacterium. RNAcentral describes it as "bacterial SSU rRNA". It matches the Rfam family "Bacterial small subunit ribosomal RNA", at positions 355 to 825 of the family's 1533-position model. The record is from RNAcentral.
UAAGGAAUAUUGGUCAAUGGAGGCAACUCUGAACCAGCCAUGCCGCGUGCAGGAAGAAGGCCCUAUGGGUCGUAAACUGCUUUUGAACAAGAGAAAACCCCGGUACGUGUACUGGGUUGAUAGUAUUGUUAGAAUAAGCAUCGGCUAACUUCGUGCCAGCAGCCGCGGUAAGACGAAGGAUGCAAGCGUUAUCCGGAUUCAUUGGGUUUAAAGGGUGCGUAGGCGGACUGAUAAGUCAGUGGUGAAAUCUCUCGGCUUAACCGAGAAACUGCCAUUGAUACUGUUAGUCUAGAGUACAGAUGAUGUGGGCGGAAUAUGACAUGUAGUGGUGAAAUGCAUAGAUAUCGUCAAGAACACCGAUAGCGAAGGCAGCUUACCAAGCUGUAACUGACACUGAGGCACGAAAGUGUGGGGAUCAAACAGGAUUAGAUACCCGUGUAGUCCCUGAGCGGGCUGGCAAGGCGCAU